CUUACCAAAAGGGGCUGCCUUGGCUUCUGCAUUUUCUGGAAAGGUCUGCUACUGAGCUCUGGAACCAUAAAUCAGGUCAAAUUGCUCCUCUGCUUGGGACCUUUUGCUGUUUUUCCGUAAUUCUCAGAAUAAAUCCAUGCCUCUCCAUAGGGAUCUGACCCAUGCCCACCUCUCCAAGCACUUCUUCCUCCACUCCCCUCUCACUGUAGCCAUACAAGCCCCAUUUCUAUGCCUUGGAGAUGCCAAGCCCUUUCCCACCUCCAGGACUGUUUUAAGUGGUGGAUCUUUUGCCCGGAAAUCUCUUCUAGUAUGUCCCUUCUCAAAAUCAAGUGUCUGUUCAAAUGUCGCCUCCCCAGAGAUGGCCUCCCUCAGACUCUGUCAUGUUCUACUUGAGCUUCUAUGAAGGAAUACCACAAACUGGGUGGCUUCAACUACUGACAUUUAUUUCUUACAGUUCUAAAAGCCGAAGAGUUCAAGAUCAAGACCCUAGCUGAUUUAGUGUCUGAUGUGGGCCCACUUCGUGGUUUACAAACUUGCAAACAGUCAUCUCCUUGUCUAUCCUCACGUGGUGGACAGCAGAGAGAGGAGGCAAGUGCUGUCAUGCCUCUUCCUGUAAGAGCACUAAUCCCAUUCAUGAGGGCUUCACCCUCAUGACCCAACUACUUCCCAACAGCCCCACCUCCGAAUGCCAUCACAUUGGGGAUUAGGGCUUCAAUGCAUGAAUUUGGAAGGACAGUCCAUAACACACUCUCUGCCUUGUCAUCAAGUAGGGGAAGUGAGAGUGAGAGGGAAGGAGCCAGGACUGAGAGUGCCAAUGAGCAGGUCAGCUCUGCAGGCAACUGGAGCUCAUCCCCUCUGAGGACCCUCUAGAUCUGCAUAGAACAGUCCCCCAAGUUACACCCACAUGGGAAGGAAAUCAGAGUAUUUACCCUCUCCUCCUGUCUGUCAUUGUUUGAGGACUGCUCUCAGGACCUCCAUCACCGGGUGCAGGUCAGACAGAGACGCACUCCUGUGGUCAGAGAACACCCUCAGGCAGAGUUACAAGUCAUCAGAGCAGGGAGUCCUUGGCAUCUAUCCAUAUUGCCCAGGUGAUACGGGACAUUGGCAGUGUCUGCAACAAGCUACUUCAGAAUCCUGAGGGGAGCUGGCCCUGUGGGUCUUGGUGGACUGGAUGCAUGGACAGCAUUCCUGGAGGUAUCGCCAGCUCCUGCUUUAACUCACUACACACACUUGGUGGCAUCUUCCCUCUCUGAUGCUCAGUUUCCCUGACUGUAUAUCAGGGAUCUGGAUCACAGUAGUGUUUUUUCUAAGUGUGGCAUAUGGAUCACAGGUGGUACAAAAGCUUGAGUUCUGAAAUGCAAACAUGAAAACUUGAAAUUGACCUGAAACCUGUACUCCAUCCUAGACCACCCAAGAUCGAUCAAACCACAGCUGACCUGCAGAUUUGUAAGUGUGAAUUAAAAUGUUUUUUGUUAUAAUCCACUGAGAUUUUGGUGUUUUUGUUAAGUAGCAUUAUCACAGCAAAAACCAAGCUAAUAUACACAGUCUUCACAUGUAAAGUUAAUGUACUGUAGGUUGCAUAUUUCCUUGCUCCAUAAACUAGCAGCACCCUUGAAAACAUAAUGCAAUUGUUUAUUGAUUAU
This 1643-nucleotide long non-coding RNA is filed under the name Homo sapiens (human). The record is from RNAcentral. Lineage: Eukaryota; Metazoa; Chordata; Mammalia; Primates; Hominidae.